This 1326-nucleotide ribosomal RNA is filed under the name uncultured Eubacteriales bacterium. Its description in RNAcentral is "uncultured Clostridiales bacterium 16S ribosomal RNA". It matches the Rfam family "Bacterial small subunit ribosomal RNA", at positions 91 to 1428 of the family's 1533-position model. Lineage: Bacteria; Bacillati; Bacillota; Clostridia; Eubacteriales. The record is from RNAcentral.
UUUAGCGGCGGACGGGUGAGUAACACGUGGAGAACCUGGCCUAUACAGGGGGAUAGCCACUCGAAAGGGUGAAUAAUACCGCAUAAAGCAUACGAUAGGCAUCUAGAGGAUGUUAAACGAGUAAUCGGGUAUAGGAUGGCUCCGCGGCCCAUUAGUUAGUUGGUGAGGUAAAGGCCCACCAAGGCAGCGAUGGGUAGCCGAUCUAAGAGGAUGAGCGGCCACAUUGGAACUGAGAGACGGUCCAGACUCCUACGGGAGGCAGCAGUGGGGAAUAUUGCGCAAUGGGGGGAACCCUGACGCAGCAACGCCGCGUAAGUGAAGAAGGUCUUCGGAUCGUAAAGCUGUUUAAACGGGGAAGAGAAAGAGGACAGUACCCGAGGAAAAAGCCACGGCUAACUACGUGCCAGCAGCCGCGGUAAUACGUAGGUGGCGAGCGUUGUCCGGAAUUACUGGGCGUAAAGGGUGCGUAGGCGGCAGAUAAAGUCCGAUGUGAAAACCCAGGGCUCAACCAUGGGAUUGCAUUGGAAACUAACCUGCUAGAGUACAGGAGAGGGGAGCGGAAUUCCUAGUGUAGCGGUGAAAUGCGUAGAUAUUAGGAAGAACACCAGUGGCGAAGGCGGCUUUCUGGACUGAUACUGACGCUGAUGCACGAAAGCGUGGGGGAGCGAACAGGAUUAGAUACCCUGGUAGUCCACGCCGUAAACGAUGAGUGCCAGGUGUAGGGGGUAUCGACACCUUCUGUGCCGGAGCAAACGCAAUAAGCACUCCGCCUGGGGAGUACGGUCACAAGACUAAAACUCAAAGGAAUUGACGGGGGCCCGCACAAGCAGCGGAGCAUGUGGUUUAAUUCGAAGCAACGCGAAGAACCUUACCAGGUCUUGACAUCCAGUGAAUCCAUAAGAGAUUAUGGAGGAUACCGAAAGGUAUACACUGAGACAGGUGGUGCAUGGUUGUCGUCAGCUCGUGUCGCGAGAUGUUGGGUUAAGUCCCGCAACGAGCGCAACCCUUGUAAUUAGUUACGGCAGUAAGAUGAGGACUCUAAUUAGACUGCCGUGGAGAACACGGAGGAAGGUGGGGAUGACGUCAAAUCAUCAUGCCCUAUAUGACCUGGGCUACACACGUGCUACAAUGGCUGAAACAAAGGGGAGCGAAUCCGUAAGGAGGAGCGAAUCGUAAAAAACAGUCCCAGUUCGGAUUGAGGGCUGCAACCCGCCCUCAUGAAGCCGGAGUUGCUAGUAAUCGCGAAUCAGCAUGUCGCGGUGAAUACGUUCCCGGGCCUUGUACACACCGCCCGUCACACCAUGAGAGUCAGCAACACCCGAAGCC